This 97-nucleotide small nuclear RNA is filed under the name Phascolarctos cinereus (koala). The record is from RNAcentral. Lineage: Eukaryota; Metazoa; Chordata; Mammalia; Diprotodontia; Phascolarctidae.
GUUUUCAAUUUGGCAGCACAAAAACUAAAACUGGAAUAACACAGAGAAGAUUAGCAUGGUUCCUGAACAAGAAUAGCGUGAAGUACUUCAUAUUUUA